Molecule: ribosomal RNA, 253 nt
Filed under: uncultured bacterium
Lineage: Bacteria
Description: partial 16S ribosomal RNA
Rfam family: Bacterial small subunit ribosomal RNA
Source: RNAcentral
UACAGAGGUCUCGAGCGUUGUUCGGAUUCAUUGGGCGUAAAGGGUUCGUAGGCGGUGUGGCAAGUCGGGAGUGAAAUCCCUGGGCUUAACCCAGGGGCUGCUUCCGAAACUGCUGUGCUUGAGUGUGGGAGAGGCGCGUGGAAUUGCAGGUGUAGCGGUGAAAUGCGUAGAUAUCUGCAGGAACACCCGUGGCGAAAGCGGCGCGCUGGACCACUACUGACGCUGAGGAGCGAUAGCUAGGGGAGCAAACAGG